CCUGUGUGACUCGAGGUACCGGAGGCAGUCAUGGCGAUAUUGGCACAUGAUGAAUCUCGCAUGCGCAGCCACGCCGCGCUGUGGCAGAGCGGAAUUGCUUGUCGAUUAAACUCUCUUUUAGGGGAGAGGUAAGUGCGGUACCCUAGCAAGCACCGGCUAACUCGCCCCCCAGCCGCCGUAUAGGGAAGGGGCAAGGGGUUAUUUGCUACGAUCACUGGGCGUAAGGAUGCGUAGGCUGGAAAUCAAGUCGAAAGUGAAAUCCAACGGCCAACCGUUGAACUGCUUUCGAAACUGGUUACCUAGAAUAUGGGAGAGGUAGAUGGAAUUAGUGGUGUAGGGGUAAAAUCCGUAGAUAUCACUAGGAAUACCGAUUGCGAAGGCGAUCUACUGGAACAUUAUUGACGCUGAGGCAUGAAAGCGUGGGGAGCAAACAGGAUUAGAUACCCUGGUAGUCCACGCCCUAAACGAUGCACACUAGUUGUUGCGAUGCUAGUCAUUGCAGUAAUGCACUUAACCAGAUUAAGUGUGCCGCCUGGGGAGUACGGUCGCAAGAUUAAAACUCAAAGGAAUAGACGGGGACCCGCACAAGCGGUGGAGCAUGUGGUUUAAUUCGAAGAUACACGAAGAACCUUACCUGGGCUUGAUAUCCUAAGAAUCCUGUAGAGAUACGGGAGUGCUAGUUUACUAGAACUUAGAGACAGGUGCUGCACGGCUGUCGUCAGCUCGUGUCGUGAGAUGUUGGGUUAAGUCCCGCAACGAGCGCAACCCUCGUGAUUAGUUGCUAACAGUUCGGCUGAGCACUCUAAUCAGACUGCCUUCGUAAGGAGGAGGAAGGUGAGGACGACGUCAAGUCAUCAUGGCCCUUAUGCCCAGGGCUACACACGUGCUACAAUGGCUAGGACAAAGAGACGCGAUACUGCGAAGUGGAGCAAAUCUUAAAACCUAGUCUCAGUUCGGAUUGGAGUCUGCAACUCGACUCCAUGAAGCCGGAAUCGCUAGUAAUCGUAGAUCAGAUAUCCGGCUACGGUGAAUAGGUUCCCGGGCCUUGUACACAGCC
This 1057-nucleotide ribosomal RNA is filed under the name uncultured Sulfurospirillum sp. RNAcentral describes it as "bacterial SSU rRNA". It matches the Rfam family "Bacterial small subunit ribosomal RNA", at positions 316 to 1394 of the family's 1533-position model. Lineage: Bacteria; Pseudomonadati; Campylobacterota; Epsilonproteobacteria; Campylobacterales; Sulfurospirillaceae. The record is from RNAcentral.